This is a non-coding RNA of Pelobates cultripes (western spadefoot toad), 96 nucleotides long. Lineage: Eukaryota; Metazoa; Chordata; Amphibia; Anura; Pelobatidae. The record is from the annotation of a GenBank genome assembly.
AUUAAAAUCAAAAACAAGUAUACUAAAGUCCAUAAAAUUACCACGUGGUAAUUUUAUGGACUUUAGUAUACUUGUUUUUGAUUUUAAUGGAAUACA